This is a long non-coding RNA of Cucurbita moschata (crookneck pumpkin), 89 nucleotides long. RefSeq lists it as uncharacterized. NCBI's taxonomy places the organism in Eukaryota, Viridiplantae, Streptophyta, Magnoliopsida, Cucurbitales, Cucurbitaceae. The record is from RefSeq and is a predicted model, not a curated record. The transcript has 3 exons.
UUACAACUCUUGAAAUGACUCAUGGGAAGGUCAAAGGUUCAUUUUGAAGCUAUAUAAAGUUAUGCAUGUUCUAAAUGUAAAAGGAGAGA